UACGUAGGUGGCAAGCGUUGUCCGGAUUUAUUGGGCGUAAAGCGAGCGCAGGCGGUUCCUUAAGUCUGAUGUGAAAGCCCACGGCUCAACCGUGGAAGGUCAUUGGAAACUGGGGAACUUGAGUGCAGAAGAGGAGAGUGGAAUUCCAUGUGUAGCGGUGAAAUGCGUAGAUAUAUGGAGGAACACCAGUGGCGAAGGCGACUCUCUGGUCUGUAACUGACGCUGAGACUCGAAAGCGUGGGGAGCAAACAGGAUUAGA
Molecule: ribosomal RNA, 259 nt
Filed under: uncultured prokaryote
Description: partial 16S ribosomal RNA
Rfam family: Bacterial small subunit ribosomal RNA
Source: RNAcentral